This is an RNA transcript of Cyclopterus lumpus (lumpfish), 10473 nucleotides long. It is a transcript of the gene named tectorin alpha, with no coding region annotated. The transcript has 24 exons. The record is from RefSeq and is a predicted model, not a curated record. NCBI's taxonomy places the organism in Eukaryota, Metazoa, Chordata, Actinopteri, Perciformes, Cyclopteridae.
GACAAGCAUGAAUCCCAUUUUAGGGGGUUUGUGCUAUUAAAAAUCAGUACUGGUCUGCAACACUUUUAAUUAAUACACAAAUUAUUUAUCCUUUUUACUAUUUUUUAUAACUGUUCCUGCUGUUGCCACAUCUUUAGGGAUCAAAACCCUUUGGCCAACUCUAUUUGGAGUUUCAGUUCUCGAACACUGUUCACUGCAUCAGUGAACUCUUGAUGUUGAACUCGGUUAUACACGCACAGUGCAAUGCCCCAUGUCCCUCCCACUCACCGUCUUACUUAGGAGCUAAUGCUCAUAUCUCCUCUUUGGUCAAUCGUUCAGCAUCAAAGGUGACAUGUAUUGCUUUUGUUAAGAGCUGUUUGGACCGUCUCAAGACAAAGGUCACAGACUGAGUCAUCAGAAGUUGCAGUAUUGCAAAAAAAGGAUGGAUGUGAGUUGAUGAUUCAGGGAAUCCGAAUUGUUCUCAUGAAAUCAAGUCGUACGAGUCACCUGACCAGGUCCAAAGGUGACUUGGUGUUUGUGCCUGUUCAUAAAGGCCACACACAAGGGUUGGGCGAAAAGUCUAGUUUAUGGGCCAUAAAACCAAAAUGGUGAGCUAAAAGACACAAAGGUUUCAUGGCAUACCCAGAUUGUAGAAUAGUCUGAACAGCAAAAAGAAUAUAGUUACUGGUGUCUGCCUUGUUACCACACCAACCCAAGCAGAAAGGUUGGUGUCGUCUGGACACAAAUCCAUUCUGAUCAUUUUUGAAUAUCCGUCUGUCUGAAGUCUGAUUUAUGAAUGAAUUUGCCGGCAAUUGCCGCUGAAGAGUUUGGUGGCGAUUAUUUUAGAGUGCAACACAUUCAAUGACUAUAUUAAGAUAUAGUCAUUGAAUGUGUUGCUAAAACAGACAUAUUGAUUAGCUCCGCUUUAAGUAUUGAGAAGAAGAAAAGAGCAUUAUGAUUUUCUUUCAUGUUCUCUGUUCCUCGUGAGCUGUUUUGAGGGUCACCGAGUGGGAAAGCGAGUGCGAUGAAACCGGCUGUUUUCGGCCCAUCUCGAACCUUCCCACUUCUGCAUCCUUGACAUUUCCCAAAACACGAAACGCAACAUCAGGAAGCUCCACCGGCCCAGUGGGUCGGCUGUAAUUGUUGAUUUAUUUAUUUUUUGUCCCCCUUUGUGCGACGUUCUCUGUCAAAGGUUGGAUAAGAGUAUGUGACCAUAUACACAUCAAGACGUGGGAGGUAUAAAAGAAGUAUCCACAGAGAGCCUCGGUGCUGUUUAAUGGGAGCCCGGGGCCUGCCCUCAGACCUGGAUCCUUUCACACAUCUUGCUCCCUGCCUCUCCAAUUACUUCCACUGUCUUGCAACAAAGACCCAACUGACUGCCCUCUCCUUCCCAGACCCUAUCAGUGUGGAUCCACCUGAGAUUUCUCCUCGCUAUCUCUCCAGCAUCUAUUGAAAUGAAGUGUCUUGUAUAACCUUGUAAAUGAGGCUGUUCCUAAUUUAAAAAAAGGGGGUACAGAGUAUCCAAAGGGGCUAAUGUUAAUUCUGUAACUCUACCUACCACCAAGCUUGAAAAGCAAGGUUUCAGACUGUGUGUGUGUGUGUGUGUUUGGUUUUUUUUGUCCAUAAAUGCCCCAGAGUAAGACUGUACUACUUUGGCCUUUUUUUUUGUGCUCCGGUGCUCGAAAGCUGCCUUAACUGCAUGAACUCUUGCAAAGUCUUUGCCAAAGACAAGGUCUCUAUUUUAUACCCGCUAAGGACUUCUCAAACCAAUAAAUCAAUAAUAACCGUAGAACUUAAGCCCCAAAUCUGUUUUUUAAGCUGCUUCAGAUGCUGUUUGAAACAUUAUAAAAAAUGGUGGUAUUCAAACAUCAGCGUUCCACAAAGAUAAAGGCCGCAGUGUUUCCUCCAAAUUGUCCAGCAAAGACACAUUUUAUCAUCAUUUUGCAGGUGUUAAUGACAGAUCCUGCACGAAAGGCUUGACAUUCAUCCGUUAUGAGAGACUCUCUUUGUACUAAACAUUCCUUUUAUACUGCAUUUAAAAUACAUCCUCGAGCAGUAAUUAUCUUUGGUUUUUCCACUUCCCUCCAUCUUUUCCACAUCUCUGACAUCCCCUCUCCCCUUCUUACAUAUUGCUCCGUUUCCACUCCCUCUCUUCCUCAUAUUCCUACGCUGUCCCUCCCCUCAACUUCCCUCUCUCCCCACCUACCCCCUUCCCCAAACACCGAUCUGAUUAAGUUGAACAGUAUCCCAGGUAAAGUUUGCACCUGCUUUUUAAGGCAAAGGUCCUUCCACAGCUUCAACAGGUUCUUUUCGAUCUCAACUUAUUUUUCGUGCAAGGACAUCACGAUUUUUACCACAAAACACAAACCUUUUGGAUUGUCGUUGCUUCUACUGAUAACCCUGUGGAGCUGGAUUUUGACAAGAAUUGCUCUUCUAUCGGGACACCCAGCUCCUCUACAGACCCUCUUCUCUUUUCAUCACUUCAACAACUAUCACCUCCACUGCCUCAUUUUACUCCCUCCAUCCCCACUGCCCUUAUUUUACUCCCUCCAUCCCCACCACUCCGUGGAUGGUCCCUUGCUGAAUGGGACACAUCCCUCAGGAGGUUGCCAGGUUAGACGAUUGAGGUGCUGGAUGUCCAUCUUCUGAAAGCAGAAUGGUCAGGCCAGGCUGUCCAGUCAUUCUGCUCCACCUCUUCAGCAUCUUUGUACAGACAGGAGCUAUUAAGGAUAUCCUGUAUCCUUAUGGACCCGGCCAUAGGGAUCUAGAGACUCCAAAGAUGGAUGAUGGGAGUUCUGCUGAAAUUACUUUGCUCAUUCAAUUCAUUUUCUUCAAUGUCCCCUACCGUACUAUCUAUAUCAACAACAACGGUGUGAUCUCCUUCAACGUGCAGGUUAGCCAGUUCACACCAGAAUCUUUUCCCCUGAGCGACAGUCGGUCGUUCAUUGCUCCACUUUGGGCAGAUGUGCACAACGGCAUCCGCGGAGAUAUUUUCUACCGAGAGUCCAUCGAACCAGAAAUACUGGAAAGGGCAACGCAAGAUGUCCGGAGGUACUUCAAAACCAUGCCCACUUUCUCAGCCAACUGGGUCUUUAUUGCAACAUGGCACCAAGUCACCUUCUAUGGAGGAAGCCAGACAACCCCGGUGAACACAUUCCAAACUGUACUAAUCUCAGAUAGCGUGACGUCCUUCAGCAUGUUCAACUACGGAGAAAUCACAUGGAGCACAGGAACAGCUAGUGGUGGAGAUCCUUUAACAGGACUGGGUGGGACGACGGCUCAGUCAGGUUUCAAUGGUGGAGACGUCGGUCACUUCUUCAACCUGCCAGGAUCACGGUCAAAUGAAGUAGUCAACAUUGAACAGACAACCAAUGUAAACACCCCUGGGCGCUGGUUAUUCCGCGUAGACACUGAACUGGUAGAUCCUGCUAACGGCUGCAGCUACAACGGGCGUUUUUACCGACGGGGGGAAGUGUUCUGGCUGUCUGACCAGUGUUUACAGCGAUGCCGCUGCCUUGACAUUAACAAUGAGGUGCAGUGCCAAGAGGCUUCAUGCGGGCAGCUGGAGACCUGCGAGCAGCAAGAAGGGGCCUUUUACUGCCAGCCAACCCGCACCAGCACUUGCGUGGUAUUUGGCGACCCUCACUACCACACCUUCGACGGCUUCCUAUAUCACUUCCAGGGAACCUGCUCCUACCUGCUGGCUCGGCCCUGCUGGGAGGUGGCUGGGUUGCCUUUCUUUAGCAUCGAGGCCAAAAAUGAGAACCGUGGCGUCGCCUCUGUUUCUUGGCUUAGAGAUGUCACAGUUGAGGUGUAUGGUCACAGAGUCCUGUUGCCCAAAGGCAGUUUUGGAACAGUCCAGGUGGACGGCUUGCUGAAGACUUUACCGGUACAACUCCAGCUUGGUGCUGUCAGGGUAUACCAGUCUGGGGUUGCCAUUGCUUUAGAAACAGACUUUGGACUCCUGGUAACCUACGACGGCCAACACUAUGCAUCCAUCUCCCUACCCAGCUCCUACUUCAACAAUACGUGUGGCCUUUGUGGUAACUACAACGAUGACCCAGCUGAUGAUCCUGUGCUUCCCGAUGGCUCGCUAGCAGAGAGCGUCGUGGAAUUAGGAGGCAGCUGGCGAGCAGAGGACACGGACUGGAGGUGUACAGAUGGCUGCGCCCAGAACUGCAGCGUGUGUGAUGCUCUUACAGAAGCCUUCUACUUUCGCUCUGACUACUGUGGGCUCAUCAACAAAACCGAUGGACCUUUUAGGGACUGCAGAGCUGUAGUGGACCCUACAGCCUUUGUGUAUAGCUGUGUAUAUGACAUGUGUAGCAACAGGGAUAACAUCACCACACUCUGCCAGGCCAUCCAGGCCUAUGCUCUGGCCUGUCAGGCCCUUGGUGUCACGAUACGACCAUGGAGAUCUCGCACCUUCUGCGCUUUGUCAUGUCCGGAGUUCAGCCAUUACCAAGUUUGCACAAGUGCCUGCCCUGCCUCCUGCUCGGAUCUCACCGCUCCCCUGUAUUGUGCUCACCCUUGCACUGAGGGCUGUCAGUGUGACCAGGGCCAUGUUCUCAGCGGCAGCCGCUGUGUUCAGCUUGAGGACUGUGGCUGUGAGCACAACGACCUCUAUUACCCUCUUAAUAACACUUUCUGGGCAGAACCCAGUGGUGAGGAAAGUGAAUGUAGCCUCCGCUGCGCCUGCGGGCCUGCUGGGGAAGUCUCCUGCUUCAACGACUCCUGCAAGGAGGGUGAGGUGUGUGUGGUGGAGGUGGGCUUGCUGGGUUGUUACCCUCGAAGGGAGGGAGUGUGCUCAAUCACCCAGAAUGCAGUGACCACCUCCUUUGAUGGCACCUUCAUGCUGAUCCCAGAUGACAGCUCCUACUACCUGCUGAAGCUGUGCAGUGCGGUGCCAGCUAAUGGCUCGAUGGUUGAGGUGAAGAUGGGCAGGCGGCUGGUGAACAAAGGCCCCACUUGGAAAAGACCUGUGGUGGUCACAGUGGCUAACCUGGAAGCUCAGAUGGGAGGGAUAGAUUUCGAUAUAGUAAAGGUGAAUGGUGAACCAGUGGUGCUUCCAUAUGUCCAUCCGAUGGAGACAAUGAUGAUCUACAAAGCACCAGGCAAUGCUACAGUGGUGGAGUCCCAUGGACUGCUUCGUGUCCAGUACACUCGGCAGGGAUUCCUUAACAUCUCCCUCUCCACCCUCUUCUACAAUGUUACUUGUGGUCUAUGUGGCGUCUUCAAUAGCAAUACCACUGAUGACCUUCGUCUUCCAAAUGGCCGCCUGGCGGACUCUACCGAACAGUUCACAGAUGGCUGGCGGUCCAUUGCUGAUGACCUCACCUGUAAUGGUGACUGCGAUGCCCUUUAUCGGACGUGCACAGACUUGCGUCUCUACCAGAACCCUUGGAUGUGUGGCAACAUCAAUGACCCGGGGAAUAGUUCAUUUCUAGCAUGUCAUGCAGUGGUCAACCCCUCACCAUUCUUCAGGAACUGCUUGUAUAACAUGUGUGUCAAGGAAGGGAAUCGUUCGGCACUGUGUUCUUCACUGCAGGCGUACGCCACCGCCUGUCAGGACGCCCAAGUUGGCCUCUCUUCCUGGAGGAGCGCCACUAACUGCCCUCUUCCCUGUCCACAGAACAGUCACUUUGACGAGUGCACCGGUGCCUGCCCUCUGACCUGUGCCAACUUAGAUGAACCCGAAGAGCCAUGCCCUCUGCCGUGCCAGGAAGGGUGUCAAUGCGAGGGAGGCUUCGCACUUCGCGAUGGCCUGUGUGUGGCACGCAGCGAUUGCGGUUGCACGAGCCACGGGCGCCAGCUGGCCACCAAUCAGACUUUCUGGACAGACUGGGAGUGCCAGGAGCGCUGCUACUGCAAUGGCUCCGACAACAGCGUCUACUGUCAGCUCACACCCUGUCACCCUGAGGAGUUCUGCCAGGAGAACGACGGCCUGUACGUUUGUCAGCCGCGCACUGAGGCCCUGUGCGUGGCGGCCGGUUAUGGACAUUUUCUGCCGUUUGGCAGCGUCCCGUUUGAACUGCAGAGCUCUUGUACUCUAAGCAUGGCCACCACCAGCUGUGGGAGAGAGAACAGGGACAAUGCAACCACGAGUGAAACUUCUCCUCAAUUUAAAUUGGCAGCUCGUAAUGAGGAAAGGGACACGGGCCAGGCCAUUUGGGUGAGGGGCUUUGUACUGGAGGUCUACGAGUAUGAGAUUGAAGUGUCUCGAAGCUACAAAAACACUGUCACGGUGAAUAAGGAGCGUUUGUACCUUCCUCUGAAACUGGGCCUGGGGAAGGUCAACAUCUUCACCUGGGGCAUGCAGCUCAUUCUGGAGACCGAUUUUGGCCUGAAGGUGGCCUUUGACUGGAACACCCUCCUCCUGUUGACUUUGCCCCGCGACCUCUACAGCUCCUGCUGCGGCCUCUGCCAAGGCAUGCCCUUGUCCCCUCCCACCCUCACCACCACCGACUGGGGCAUGGCCUGGGCAGAGCGGGACACCUUCUGCCAGGUGGGCUGUGGAGACUCCUGCCCGCGCUGUGGCCUGGGAGAAACCAGCGCAGUGAAUGACUCCCCUCUCAUGGUGGCCGAUGCCAACAUGGACCUCGACGCGGACAACGGGGAAAAUGAAGUCGACGCAGGCAUACGCUUCCACAUCGGCAAUGGACUCUAUGUGUUUGUGGAGCCCGAGGCAGUGCGGCUCUGUGGGCUAAUUGUGGAUCGAGGCGGUGCGUUUGCUCGUUGUCACAGCAAGGUGGCGCCAGCGUUUUUUUAUCAAAGCUGCCUGCAGGACACCUGCUUGGACCAGGGAGCUCAGGAUACAGUCUGUAACUGGCUGCAGAUGUAUGCCGGCACCUGUCAGACCCAAGGGGCGCCUGUUUCCGGCUGGAGGAGCGACACGCCGUGUGUCCACAGCUGUUCCCCUAACAGCCAUUACUCCAGUUGUGUGUCGGUUUGCCCGCCCCAGUGCGCCCCCGCCCGCGGCCAGAGGGACUGCAGCCAGGACUGUGUGGAGGGCUGCCAGUGUGACCAGGGCUACGUGCUCAACGGCAAGGGCUGCAUCCUGCCUCAAAACUGUGGCUGCUACACUGAUGGCAAGUACUACGAGCCCAAGCAGCUGUUUUGGAACAACGACUGCACCAAGCGCUGCCAGUGCAUCGGACGAAACCUGGUCCAGUGCGACCCGAGGCGCUGCAAGGCCGAGGAAGAGUGCGCCCUGCGCUACGGAGUGCGGGGCUGCUUCGCGCGGCGCUCCCAGCACUGCGUGGCGUCCGGCGGCGGCGUGUUCAGGACCUUCGACGGGGCGUCGCUGCGGCUGCCGGCCUCCUGCUCCUUCGUCUUGUCCACGAACUGCCAUAAGCUGCCCGACCUCUCCUUCCAGCUCAUCGCCAACUUCGAUAAGUGGACCACGCCCAACCUCACCACCAUCUCCCACGUUUACCUGUACAUCAAUGAGGAGAACAUACUCAUCUCCGGCAGCACUGUCAAGGUCAAUGGUACACCAGUAACGGUACCGUUUCUAACUGGGCUGAUGACGCGCCUGUCGACGGCCGAAGGUUUCAUCAUCAUCGACACGCCGCAGGACAUCCAGGUUCGGUACAACCACUUCAACACCCUGAGCAUCACAAUGGGCCAGCGGCUGCAGAACAAGGUGUGUGGCCUCUGCGGGAAUUUCAACGGGGACCCCAGUGACGACUACAUCACCUCCAGGGGGAAGCCGGCCGUCAGCGCCCUGGAGCUCGCCCAGAGCUGGAAGACCAACGGUAUGCAGAACAGUUGUGAUGAAACCCAGUUCGUGGCUCUGGCUCAGUCCUGCGACAACACGGCGGUGCUGGCGCUGCAAAGCGAAGACGCCUGUCAGAAGCUCACCGAGCUGAAGGGUUUCUUUCAGCCGUGCCACGGCCUGCUGGAUCCCCUCCCCUUCUACCAGUCCUGCUACCUGGACGGCUGCUAUAACCACCACAAGGCUCAGGUCUGCGGCUCCCUGGCCGCCUACGCAGAGGCCUGCCGCUCCAUGGGCACCCUCACCACCAAGUGGAUCACCCAGGAGAACUGCUCAGAAUGGAUCUACGACCCCUGCGCAGGAGAGAUCUGCACAAACUUCACCUGUGAGCUGGAGAACGGAGGUGACCUGUGCGGCUGCCCCGAGUUGCCAACCAGCACCGGAGGAGACGAUGACAUCAUCCAGGCGGAGGUGAACUGUAAGCAUGCUCAGAUGGAGGUCUCCAUCUCCAAGUGCAAGCUCUUCCAGCUGGGCUUUGAGCGCGAGGACGUCAGGGUCAACGAUGAGCACUGUGCCGGUAUUGAGGGAGAAGACUUCAUCUCCUUCCGCAUCAACAACACGAAGGGGCACUGCGGCUCCAUCGUACAGUCGAAUAGCACACACAUCAUGUAUAAGAACACCGUGUGGAUCGAGAGCGUGAACAACACCGGGAACGUCAUCACCCGGGACAAGACCAUCAACGUGGAGUUUUCCUGCGCCUACGAACUGGACCUGAAGAUCUCGCUGGAGACCGUCCUCAAGCCCAUGCUCAGUGUGAUAAACCUCACCUUACCGACCCAGGAAGGAAACUUCAUCACCAAGAUGGCUCUCUAUAAGAACUCCUCGUACCGAAACCCGUACAGGGAGGGCGAGGUGGUGCUGAGCACGCGCGACACCCUCUUCGUGGGCGUCUUCGUGGAAGGGGCCGAUGAAAACCAGCUCAUCCUCAUCGUAAACAUGUGCUGGGCCACGCCGUCCCGCUACAGCAGUGACCGACUCCGCUAUAUCAUCAUAGAGAGAGGGUGUCCAAACGUUAAGGACAACACCAUCGGCAUGGUGGAGAACGGCGUGUCGCUCACCUGUCGCUUCCACGUCACCGUCUUCAAGUUCAUCGGGGAUUACGAGGAGGUCCACCUCCACUGCGACGUCACCCUCUGCGACUCCGAAAUAAACGCCUGCAAAGUGAACUGUCCGCACACGAGAAGGAUGUACUCGGAGGACAGUGGUCAUAAAGAGCACAUAUUGACCGUGGGACCCAUAAGGAGGAGAGGCGAUAUCAGACUGGUGCGAGGAGGUAAACGGAGGCUGUGAGCAGAUCUGCACCAGUAAGACGGCCGGACCGGUGUGCAGCUGCGUGACUGGGAUGCUGCAACGAGAUGGGAAGAGCUGCCGGGCUGCGAGCUCGAGCGGUAACCUCACACCUGCGUUCUCUCUGCUGAGCGUCAGCGCUGUGAUCUCCAUGUUGCCGGCUCGUACUCACGCUCUCCUCUCCUAACACCCUGCGAGCACAGGGGGGUGGGGGUGGGGGGUGAGGGAGCCACGUUGGAGAGGAACAAAAAAAACACAGAAAAGACUUGAAGAUGCACAAAGUUCAUCAGCAUUAAUUAGCCCGUAGAUCAGCUGUGUUCCAGUCAAAAAAUAUCCAAACGGGACACUUUACACAUGUUUGAGUGCACUUAUCGUUGAUGCAACCGAAGGUAACUGAACAAGGAAAGUGAGUCGGCACCUUCACCUCCUCCGUUAUAUUCAUACGUCAGGACACCUCACUGUGUAUUAUCGUCUACUUAAAGCCAUCUUUCAAAUAAUUCUGAUACUACCACCAGAUGGCGCCACAGUAAGACGUUUUCUCGUCCCUAUUAUAUCGUGUUUAAGGCGGGUCAUUCCCGAAAGACUUGGGUCCCGUAGGUGGGACGCUGGACACGUUGUUAGGGUGUCCAAAUAAGUGUGCAGACCUUCCUCUGUCGUCUUUCAUUCAAACAUUUAAAUCUGCAGUUCACCUUUUUUGAGAAUGAAUGUUUGUUUUCCGAUAAGUGUGUCCUCCUUGUGACAUUUAAUCUCAUUUGAAAAGGCGAGGGUAUACGCACGUACAUUCAGUUCUUUUAACUGAUUAGAUAAAAACCCGACGAGAGCCCGUGAACUCAGCCUAAAGGCCUAUUUUAGGGCCUAUUGUGAAUUUGUGGGAGCGAAAAGAGGAAAGGAUGAUGUGUUUCACGAUGUUAUCAGUGGGGAGAGUACAUUGUGCAGUGAGUAUUUAUGUGGGAGAUGGGCACCUUGUGGAAUGAAUACUUUUAUUUUUGUUGUCAUAGAUUAGAGCCCAGGUUGUGAGAUAUGCAAUUUCAUUCAUUUUUUUAUCCCUUCUAUCUUAAUCAGUUAUAGUGUCGUAACACCGUUGGCGCCGACUUGUCGAUCCAUUGAACAUGUUGCCUGUUAAAGAUGGACAUGUGAGGACUUAUAAUACUGGUUCUCCAUUCUCCAGGUUUCUAUGUGGCGCCUUCUAUGUCACCACACGUGUUAUGUAACCCUUCAGUGUUCUUUACUUUACGUUUUGUGUUAGUUUAUAUGGCAGUUUUCUCAUCGCUAGGCUACUGUUUUGCUACAUUCUAUGUACAGAUGUACAGUCAUUUCCUGUCGGUAUACAGUAUCUUUGUUUGACGUUUAAAAACAUGACCAAAAUAUGUUUUAAUUCUUUGAGAGCGGUGCCACUCGACUUUUAAUAAAUGAAUAAGUUCUCAAAGUCA